CAUUAUACAGCGAAACUGCGAAUGGCUCAUUAUAUAAGUUAUCGUUUAUUUGAUAGUACCUUACUACUUGGAUAACCGUGGUAAUUCUAGAGCUAAUACAUGCUAAAAAUCCCGACUUCGGAAGGGAUGUAUUUAUUAGAUACAAAACCAAUGCCCCUCGGGGCUCUCUGGUGAUUCAUGAUAACUCGUCGAAUCGCACGGCCUUGCGCCGGCGAUGGUUCAUUCAAAUUUCUUCCCUAUCAACUUUCGAUGUUUGGGUAGUGGCCAAACAUGGUGGCAACGGGUAACGGAGGGUUAGGGCUCGACCCCGGAGAAGGAGCCUGAGAAACGGCUACUACAUCCAAGGAAGGCAGCAGGCGCGCAAAUUACCCAAUCCCGAUACGGGGAGGUAGUGACAAUAAAUACUGAUACAGGGCUCUUUUGGGUCUUGUAAUUGGAAUGAGUACAAUUUAAAUCCCUUAACGAGGAACAAUUGGAGGGCAAGUCUGGUGCCAGCAGCCGCGGUAAUUCCAGCUCCAAUAGCGUAUAUUAAAGUUGUUGUGGUUAAAAAGCUCGUAGUUGAAUCUUGGGCCUGGCUGGCCGGUCCGCCUCACCGCGUGUACUGGUCCGGCCGGGUCUUUCACUCUGCGGAACCACAUGCCCUUCAGUGGGUGUGGCGGGGAAGCAGGACGUUUACUUUGAAAAAAUUAGAGUGCUCUAAGCAGGCCAAUGCUCGGAUACAUUAGCAUGGAAUAAUAAAAUAGGACGCGCGGUUCUAUUUUGUUGGUUUCUAGGACCGCCGUAAUGAUGAAUAGGGACAGUCGGGGGCAUCAGUAUUCAGUUGUCAGAGGUGAAAUUCUUGGAUCUACUGAAGACUAACUACUGCGAAAGCAUUUGCCAAGGAUGUUUUCAUUAAUCAGGAACGAAAGUUAGGGGAUCGAAGACGAUCAGAUACCGUCGUAGUCUUAACCAUAAACUAUGCCGACUAGGGAUCGGACGAUGUUAUUUAGUUGACUCGUUCGGCACCUUACGAGAAAUCAAAGUGCUUGGGCUCCAGGGGGAG
This 1042-nucleotide ribosomal RNA is filed under the name Metarhizium indigoticum. RNAcentral's name for it is "SSU rRNA". It matches the Rfam family "Eukaryotic small subunit ribosomal RNA", at positions 72 to 1123 of the family's 1831-position model. Lineage: Eukaryota; Fungi; Ascomycota; Sordariomycetes; Hypocreales; Clavicipitaceae. The record is from RNAcentral.